UUUACGAAAAGCUUGUACAACAUAUUCCAGCGCGAGCUCUCUAGCCUACAGCGUCUACGCGUCCAAUUAUUCACUUUUUUGGUGUAUAAUAAAUAAAGCAACUAUUGCUAAAAUCGAAAUAUUUUACUUGUGUUAAUGGAUGUAGAAUUUUGACUAUUUAACUUAAAGCAGGAUACGAGUUCCGGCUGUGACGUCAACUAAUUGCCAUUAGCAUUUGCAUAGAAAUUCCAAUAAUCACGCAAACUGAGCAGAAGGCAAAAACGGAGCAAGACAGAGAACUGACUCCUAAGCUUGAGUUGUCAUUAGUCAGCAGCCUUAAUGGAUGUGUUAAGGGAUGAACAGACAUGCCGUUAUUUAUAUUUAUUUGAUAUCCUAAUAAAAUGACAACUACGUAAAUAGUUUUUCCACAAAUAGACACGUCUUUGAUAAAUUGUUAUAACUUGAUCAACUGUGAAGGUUGCCUAACAUUUGAAGACUUAAGAAAAUAUCCAAAUGAGAGAGAAAAAGUCUAUAUACUCAAUCUUCAUGUGACGUUUCUUUGGUGAAAGUUUUACGAGUUCAGUCCCAUUAAUAUACCAGGAAGUAAUUCAAAGACGUUUGCAAAAUAAAAUGAUAUAUUACAAAAAUUAUAAUAAAAAUAUACUUGUGUGAGCUUGUGAACAAAGAAAACACCCCAUUGUCACAAUAGACGAGCGAAUUUGUAACGAUUUACUUAACAAAGAAACGUUUCAAAAACAAAACAAGUAAUCAAUUGUAGGCAAAAGGCAAUGUCAACAAAUGCGCUAGACGAGCCCAAGACUCAAGUGGUUAUCAUUGGCUGGAUCGAGGCCUCGCUGAUUCUUACAUACUAACGAUUGGCAAGGGUGGCACAUUAAAACGUGUAAGCUCUCAAUGGAAAAUGCCAAGUCACGUUAAGCUAGAAAAGCAUUUUAACAAAAAAGUCAUCUAAUUACAUGUUAUAUAAGAUGGCGUAUUAAGCACACGAAACUUUAAGCCCGAGCUUCAAAGCAAAGCCAACGACCGACAGAGAGCAAGAGAGAGUGAAUACGCGGCACAGAAAUACAACAACAUAGGUAAAGGUUCAGAGAGAGGCAAAGAGAGAGAGAAAGAGAGCGCGCCGCGCACCGACCUCACCAAACACGACCGAGCUGUCCAGUGAACGAGCGAUAACUGAACUGAAACACCAAAAAGGUGAUUAAAUUGUAAAUCUGUGUGCGAUUUAAAUAUAAAAGUUUACGGCCGUUUCCAAACGUCGCACAGCGCUGCCCAGCGAUCAGGUUGUAAACAACAGCUGAGCACACUGUGAGCACGCAUCGUAUAAUCAACGGAGACCGAGAGAGACCAAGCAAGCGAACAGGUGUUGGAAUCUGGUGGCAUGUAAAAAAUACGUCAAGCUUAUAUGAUUGGCUACUUCUUGAAUGGUGCUUUUCCAAAAUGUGUGCUUACCAAGAAGUGCUUGUACUAAUUAACUGGCUCCAUUAGCAGUGUCUUUGCACAUAUUGCCAUUGGUCAUCAGGCCAGGCCCAGGAGCAGAUGAUGCGGAUCCAUUGUUGACAUGGCCUUGGCGUGUGGUGUUUACAUUCAGCAGCUGAUUUUCAUGCUCAUCAUAGUUGCUGCAAUGGGAGACCCUUGCCUUUGCUCCUUCAUUCGCACCUGGCACAGACUGCGCAGGUGUCGCCUUAGACGUUGGACUUGGGCAUUGGAUGUUAGAGGACGACAUGGUUAACAAUCACAAAUGGUUGCGGGCCAAACUUUCAUUGGGCGAUCAAGCGCGCAAACGAAAUAUUAUUUUUUUAAUGGGGUUUUUAGCACGGCACUAUAUUUUCUGCAACUUUAAUGUAUUUGCGAACGUUCAAUUUAUCCAACAUGCUUUUGAAGCUUUUUUGCUGCUGCAGUCGUACUACAAACGUUUGCACCUGUCCGCGUAGAUGUAUGAAGCUUAUGGCCGAAUCUUAUUUGCGAAUAUUCGUAUAAAUGCCGCAGUAGUAAUUAGCAAAGUUUCAUUGGUACAAUUUCAGUUAUUUAUUUAUAAACUGAAGUCCAUUGUAUAUGCUAGAGUUAAUCGAAUCGUUUGGAAUUAGUUCGAUUAACUGGCUCACUGAAUGAACAAAUUAAAUCCGAUUUCAGCAUAA
Long non-coding RNA from Drosophila montana, 2132 nucleotides. RefSeq lists it as uncharacterized. The record is from RefSeq and is a predicted model, not a curated record. NCBI's taxonomy places the organism in Eukaryota, Metazoa, Arthropoda, Insecta, Diptera, Drosophilidae. The transcript has 4 exons.